RNAcentral lists this long non-coding RNA (390 nucleotides) under Phoenix dactylifera (date palm). RNAcentral's name for it is "long non-coding RNA (PDAC_LNC014251)". The record is from RNAcentral. Lineage: Eukaryota; Viridiplantae; Streptophyta; Magnoliopsida; Arecales; Arecaceae.
UUGUUCCUUACUUGAUUCAAUCAGGGGAUUGAAUCAAGGGUGUAAAGGUUUGUUGGUGAGCCUAGGUUGAAACCAACGUGUAAGGGUUUGAUUGUGAGCCUGGAAAAACAAUCGGGUGGUUCUAGUCGGUGAGCCUGGGAAAAUCGACCGAGUUUGUUGUGAUCUCGCAAAACAACAAGUUAGGUUGUGAGCUUGUAAAACAACCGGCUGUAAUCCGAGGGGUUAUAGUGAAUUCCCAAGUGAGGCUUGGGGAGUGGACGUAGGAGCAAGGGUUAGCUCCGAACCACUAUAAAAUCAUUGUGUUUGUGAUUGCCUUUGUGUCUCUUACUUUCAUUUCAUUCACUGCACAUAGCAUCUAAUUAAUCAACUUGCAAAAGGUAUUAAUUAGUA